AGUAAACAGCGCGUUAAACGUCGUUUCGCCGCCAUGUUGCGUGCUUGCUUGCUCGUCUGUUCGCUCGUGUCCGGAACCGAGCUCUCAUUUCAAUAUCAGCCCUAUCGUCGAAGCAAUGAGCCUUGUAAGAUAUGCUAUGGGGAAGACUGCCUGCAGAUGAACCAGGCAAGGUGCGAGUACUACGUGGAAACAGAUGAGAUACUGCAUGAAGAAAAGAUCGAGGAAGUUGAUAAUCAUGAGAUGAGGGAGGAAGUAGAUCGAUUGAUGUACCGGUUUAUGGAGAAAGCAUCUGAUGCCAACACUGAAUGUAUACCACUAGUAUCUCAAUAUACGGAUUGCACUAAAGAAAACAUAUGUGUCGGUUGCAAGACUUGCAGCUGUGACCUUAGCGGCAGCUGGAACUGCACCACGGUGAGCCGGUGCCGAGCUGACGUCGUCACCGACAUCGACCAUCGCAUGCUAGUCUUCAUCAUUGAGAAUCUUAUGAACGCUCAAACUAACAAGAGGACAAAACGGAACACAGAGGAAAAUCUAAACAAACUGACCACGAAUAAAAUAAGUUUUGCACAAAUUUCACAAUGGAUGUUUGGAGUACCACCUUUAAACUCAAAAGAAACAACACAAAACAGUGCUAUCUCAUCGGCUACUGAAAAUAUAAAUAAUAUUACUUCAUUUACAGAAACCACCACACGAACCAAAACAAGCCCAGAAACUAGUGCUAGAGUAGACUAUCUAGAUUUUGAAGAAGUGCUAAACAACAUCGCAGUUGAUAGCAAAACUUACUCUCGUAGAAAACCUCUAGAUAAACACAAUGAUUCUACAACAUUUGAUUACAUGAUAUUUGAUGAAGAUAAUGCAACAGACAUUACUACUAACACACCUGGGAAUGAAGAAUGGGAGAACAAUUAUGCUCCGCCUAAACCAGCUGAAGAAACAGACAUAGUUAUUGAUUUACUAGAAUCAGCUAAAAAGAAUCAAGAAAUUUUUACAACUAACUGGACCGAUUACACGGAAACUGACAAUAAAAUAAACAUGAUAGAUACUGCAUUAGAUUACAUUGAUAAUUUUGUACUUGGCUCAAAAAAUAUCAUGAAAAGAGAUACCUCGAUUAAAAAAAUAAGUACAGAAAAAGAAAACAUUACCAACAACGUCAAUGAAUUACGAAAUAAUGUCCUGCUACCAUUAAGUAAUAUAAUUAACGAUAAACAAAAAGAAUUGGAAGAAUUACUCCGAGUUAGCGAAAACUUAAUAAAAAUUAUGAGAACUUAUAACAAUUCGUUUGAAACAAGUGUUAAAGAAAAUAGGUAUAAUGAUACGAACUCAACUAUAUCUAUUUACAACUUUGAAAUAGCGCCGGAGUUAGAAAAUGAAUUUAGAAGAAGCGACAAGAAUUUACUUCAGAAAUAUUUAUUAAAACUGAAACGAGAUAUUUAUGAGGUUAUAAGAGAUAUUGCUGGUAUACAAAACUAAAAGGAGAAGCGCAUAUUCCUGUAGACUUAAAAAUAUUACUGCGUGCCAUGAAACGUUACGUACGAAACCAAGCUAAAUUGAAUUACAAAGAAAAGAAAUCGGAUGUUGAAAACCUAAAUAGUCGACGUACGCCUGCCGAUACAAAGAAUGAUGCAACUAAAAAAACCUUAGUUACUGAAAUGGUUAAUAUUUUAAAAGUUAUUGACAAAAAUUUGCCUGAAAGUAACGCAUUGGCUUCCCUUUCGCCAACAUCAAGAAAAAUUAUUCAAAGAGUUAUUAAAACAAUUAUAUAGACGAAUUCUCAGUAAUAGGACUGAGAGUAUUUGACCCAGAAUACAAUUUAACCAAUGAUAUAAAGAAAAUUGGUACUGAAUGGCCCAGAAUGACAGAUAUUGUAGCACAAACCCCAAUCCACGAUAGAUUACAUGCCAUGAAACUACUGCAUCUCAUAUUAUCAAUCGAUAUCACCAAAAUGAACGAUGCACUGGCAUUAUUAGACUUUGCUUAUAACCGAAGAAUGAUAUUAAUAGAAGGUAACUUAGGUGGAGAAAUUAUGGAUAGAAUAAACAAAGGGCUGAAAGCAAUAAACGAAAAAGUCAAAGUUAUCAUAAAUUUACAUAAAAAUAGACAAAUCAAGAACCUGAAGAAUGUGGAAGUGACUAAACAGGUCCAAAAAGAAUCAUUUUUAAAGAAGCUUAAAAAGAUAUUAAGAUCGUCCAAAAACGAUAUCGUUGGCUUGUUAAAGAAAAAGGUGCCAAAGAAAGAGAUAGUAAAAGGAUUGGCAAAGAAGAAGAUUGAUGAACUUACCAGGCGGAGAUAUAUGGAAUUUGAGGACACCAUGAGGAAAUGGCAAAGUAAAUUGAACUUAGUUCCGAGAGAUAAAAGAUUCGCACGAGAUGACAAUUAUAAAAGUCAUAUGAAAAACAUACUUCCUAAGUAUUUAAGGGGUAAAGUUAAACCAGUUAUAGCUGCGAAGAAGUCCAAAACACGUGAAAAACAAAAAAAGCAUUCUAAUACCGUUACAACUACAACGAAAUCAAAAUUAACUGCAAAUCCGAAUACGUCUAAAUCACGUACAAAUAUAUAAUUUUACUAGUAAAUGUUAAUUUUA
This is an RNA transcript of Manduca sexta (tobacco hornworm), 2581 nucleotides long. RefSeq lists it as uncharacterized. NCBI's taxonomy places the organism in Eukaryota, Metazoa, Arthropoda, Insecta, Lepidoptera, Sphingidae. The transcript is spliced from 8 exons. The record is from RefSeq and is a predicted model, not a curated record.